AAAUUGAAGAGUUUGAUCAUGGCUCAGAUUGAACGCUGGCGGCAGGCCUAACACAUGCAAGUCGAACGGUAACAGGAAGCAGCUUGCUGCUUCGCUGACGAGUGGCGGACGGGUGAGUAAUGUCUGGGAAGCUGCCUGAUGGAGGGGGAUAACUACUGGAAACGGUGGCUAAUACCGCAUAACGUCGCAAGACCAAAGAGGGGGACCUUCGGGCCUCUUGCCAUCAGAUGUGCCCAGAUGGGAUUAGCUUGUUGGUGAGGUAACGGCUCACCAAGGCGACGAUCCCUAGCUGGUCUGAGAGGAUGACCAGCCACACUGGAACUGAGACACGGUCCAGACUCCUACGGGAGGCAGCAGUGGGGAAUAUUGCACAAUGGGCGCAAGCCUGAUGCAGCCAUGCCGCGUGUAUGAAGAAGGCCUUCGGGUUGUAAAGUACUUUCAGCGGGGAGGAAGGUGUUGUGGUUAAUAACCGCAGCAAUUGACGUUACCCGCAGAAGAAGCA
Molecule: ribosomal RNA, 502 nt
Filed under: Salmonella enterica
Lineage: Bacteria; Pseudomonadati; Pseudomonadota; Gammaproteobacteria; Enterobacterales; Enterobacteriaceae
Description: bacterial SSU rRNA
Rfam family: Bacterial small subunit ribosomal RNA
Source: RNAcentral